UGGGGAAUAUUGCACAAUGGGCGAAAGCCUGAUGCAGCAACGCCGCGUGAGUGAUGAAGGCCUUCGGGUUGUAAAGCUCUGUCUUUUGGGACGAUAAUGACGGUACCAAAGGAGGAAGCCACGGCUAACUACGUGCCAGCAGCCGCGGUAAUACGUAGGUGGCAAGCGUUGUCCGGAUUUACUGGGCGUAAAGGAUGCGUAGGCGGAUUUUUAAGUGAGAUGUGAAAACCCUAAGCUUAACUUGGGGACUGCAUUUCAUACUGGAAAUCUAGAGUGCGGGAGAGGAGAAUGGAAUUCCUAGUGUAGCGGUGAAAUGCAUAGAGAUUAGGAAGAACACCAGUGGCGAAGGCGAUUCUCUGGACCGUAACUGACGCUGAGGCAUGAAAGCGUGGGUAGCAAACAGGAUUAGAUACCCUGGUAGUCCACGCCGUAAACGAUGAGUACUAGGUGUAGGAGGUAUCGACCCCUUCUGUGCCGCAGUUAACACAAUAAGUACUCCGCCUGGGAAGUACGAUCGCAAGAUUAAAACUCAAAUGAAUUGACGGAGUCAUAGCUGUUUUCCU
Molecule: ribosomal RNA, 563 nt
Filed under: uncultured bacterium
Lineage: Bacteria
Description: partial 16S ribosomal RNA
Rfam family: Bacterial small subunit ribosomal RNA
Source: RNAcentral